This 497-nucleotide ribosomal RNA is filed under the name uncultured bacterium. Its description in RNAcentral is "partial 16S ribosomal RNA". It matches the Rfam family "Bacterial small subunit ribosomal RNA", at positions 28 to 507 of the family's 1533-position model. The record is from RNAcentral.
GAUGAACGCUGGCGGCGUGCCUAAUACAUGCAAGUCGAGCGAACAGACGAGGAGCUUGCUCCUCUGACGUUAGCGGCGGACGGGUGAGUAACACGUGGAUAACCUACCUAUAAGACUGGGAUAACUUCGGGAAACCGGAGCUAAUACCGGAUAAUAUAUUGAACCGCAUUGUUCAAUAGUGAAAGACGGUUUUGCUGUCACUUAUAGAUGGAUCCGCGCCGCAUUAGCUAGUUGGUAAGGUAACGGCUUACCAAGGCAACGAUGCGUAGCCGACCUGAGAGGGUGAUCGGCCACACUGGAACUGAGACACGGUCCAGACUCCUACGGGAGGCAGCAGUAGGGAAUCUUCCGCAAUAGGCGAAAGCCUGACGGAGCAACGCCGCGUGAGUGAUGAAGGUCUUCGGAUCGUAAAACUCUGUUAUUAGGGAAGAACAAAUGUGUAAGUAACUAUGCACGUCUUGACGGUACCUAAUCAGAAAGCCACGGCUAACUACGUG